Molecule: long non-coding RNA, 1107 nt
Filed under: Anas zonorhyncha (Eastern spot-billed duck)
Lineage: Eukaryota; Metazoa; Chordata; Aves; Anseriformes; Anatidae
Description: lncRNA (ENSAZOG00000003259.1)
Source: RNAcentral
AUGACCGGACACACACAACGCGCGGAGCUUGGCCGUGGCCCUACACCAAACGCGCCUGAAAUUCGUUACCGACAGAAACCCGCGAGGCGCCCUGAGAAACCCCUGCGGCAGAGGCAGGGACCCUCCAGCCGGCCACGGCAGCUGCCGGGGGCUCGGCUCGCCGCGGAGAGGCCUGCGGAGGGGAGGAGGCCAUGUGGCAGGCAGGCAGGCGGCCGCUGGCUGUGGCUGAGGGGGAGGAGGCCCCGGCGUUCAUUCAAACCGCCGAGCAGGCCCCGCAGCGGGGAGGCGGCCCCGCGCCGUGCCCGGCCGCACGUCGGCCUGCGGAGAAGCCGGGCCCGGCCUCGCGGCCCCACCGCCGAGCCCUGCCGCCGACCCCCCCCACACACACACACCGCGGUCCGCCCCCAGCCUCCCCCCGGCGGCCGCUGUCCCCCGAGCCCCCCCCUCACGGGAGGCGCCGGGGCCCCUCACACGCCGACCGCCGCGGCCGCCCCGCGCCCAGCCCCGCACGGUCCCCGCGGUGGGCCGGGGAGGAGCCGAGGUUCCGCUCUCCCCGUGACGAGGCCCCUCGGCGCUGCGACCUCCGUCCCCCGAGCCCCCGCCGCCCGCCAGCCCAGGCCUGGGGCCGCAGCCCUCGCCCCUCGCCCCGGCCACAUGGCGGCCGCGGCGCCCGCACUCACCCCGCUGGCGGCCCGCGUCGCCCCGCGCUGCUCAGCGCCUGGCCGCCAUGUUAGAGCUGGUGCGGCACGGACUGCGUCAGCGCGAGGCAGCGGAGGGGGGGGGGGGAGGGGGGGGGGGGGGGGGGGGGUUNNNNNNNNNNGAGCACGGCUCGGCUCGGGGAGGCGGCGAGGGCCGCUCGCGAGGAGCCGAAGCGGUUGGGGGAAGGGGGGCGCCCGCCCCCUCCAGCUCGUCAGCGCCGCUCCGCCCCGCCGCCCGCUCCCGCCACCCCUGCUGCCCGCCGCCCCCAGCGCGGCCGGGAGGGUGCCCGUGUGGCGGGGGGCCGGGCCUCCCCCUGCGGGCACAGCGGGGCUCGGCCGCCCGAAGCGCCCCGGACUGCUGCUGCUGGGCUUCCCCCCCUCCCCAGCCACGUCUCGGCGUCCGGAGUGA